GAGCUGCGCCCCACUUCAGGGACCUGAGAACAAAGGCUUUAGGGGAUGCCACAAGCACUGAAGGAGGCACUGGGGACCCCUCUGUGUCCCAACACCAGUUCCCAGCACUCCCUUCCAAGUGAUGGGCCGAGAGGCGGGCUGGCUUGGAUCCUAGUGGGAUUAGGGGGGCACCGGGCAGUGCAGCCUGGUGGUCAAGACCCAGCCUUUGGAGUGAAGCUGACACCCCUGCUCUACUGAGUGACCUUGUGGGACACUUCAGGUCCCCGGUGGGUCCUCUCUGGGCCUCAGCGUCCUCAUCUGGACACCAGUGGCAAUGCUGUCUCCCUCGCAGGACUGCUGUGAAGAAGAAAUGCAAGGCUGAACGUGGAGAACGAGGGGGUCUGUGGACCCGCCAGGCCCUGCUGGGAGAUUCUGUCUCGCCACCUUCCCCGACCUGCAGCCCUGCCCAACCACUCCUCUGGGCUGCCUUCCUCGCCGUGGCCCCUGAGGGAUCAUCCUGGCAUCAUGCUCUUCGGUGCCCACCUGACCCUCACCCCCAGGGAACAAGUCCCCAGCUAAGUUUUCCUAUUUCAGAAUGCCAGGACCUUCACAAUCUGGCCCAACCUACCUUUCCCAAGCCUCAACUCCGGCUAGUGUCCCCUAACAGCUUCCCUUCUGGCCACGUCCAAGCACUCAGUGCUGCUUCAACUGAACGAGACCCCACUUCCGGGCCACACACUGCGGUGUGCUGUCCCCCGCCACACCGAACGCCUCACCCCUACUGCUCACGUGGCAAGCUCUUAGCCUUUCUUCAAAACCCAAGGCCCCGGACUAAAGCUCAUGCUCUUUGGGUCUGCUGGUGUUUGCUGGAACCCCAAGCCAGCUUCUCACUGCAAGCUCCCCCUUUCCAGAGCCAUCUGUGGAUAGAAGAGCUAACACAGGUCAUGUUCUUAGAACGGCACCUGGCCCGUAGUGAUCACUCAACACAUCUUUGCUGUUCUGAAGGUAGCCGACUGACACUGCUUCAGUGGAACCCCCGCCCCCCGACUCCUCCUCCACCGGGGCUGAAGCAGGCAUGUCCUCCCUGGAGCUUCCGGAACCCCCAUCCCAGACAUCAAUCACUUGGUGCAGGAUAAUGACAAGAUAACAGCUGUCA
Long non-coding RNA from Herpailurus yagouaroundi (jaguarundi), 1135 nucleotides. RefSeq lists it as uncharacterized. The record is from RefSeq and is a predicted model, not a curated record. The transcript is spliced from 2 exons. Lineage: Eukaryota; Metazoa; Chordata; Mammalia; Carnivora; Felidae.